AGCAGCCGCGGUAAUUCCAGCUCCAAUAGCGUAUAUUAAAGUUGCUGCAGUUAAAAAGCUCGUAGUUGAAUUUCGGGACUAAUAUGUCGGUCGUGCCUCGGUACGUACUGGUAUUUUUGGUUUCUCCCUUCUGACGAACCUUGAUGUCAUUAAUUUGGUGUCUUGGGAAAUCAGGACUGUUACUUUGAAAAAAUUAGAGUGUUUAAAGCAGGCUCACGCUUGAAUACAUUAGCAUGGAAUAAUGAAAUAGGACGUUUGAUUCUAUUUUGUUGGUUUCUAGGAUCGACGUAAUGAUUAAUAGGGAUAGUUGGGGGCAUUAGUAUUCAAUUGUCAGAGGUGAAAUUCUUGGAUUUAUUGAAGACUAACUACUGCGAAAGCAUUUGCCAAGGAUGUUUUCAUUAAUCAAGAACGAAAGUUAGGGGAUCGAAGACGAUCAGAUGCCGUCGUAGUCUUAACCAUAAACUAUGCCGACUAGGGAUCGGAUGAUGUUAAUUUUUUUCAAUGACUCAUUCGGCGCCUU
RNAcentral lists this ribosomal RNA (520 nucleotides) under uncultured Glomus. RNAcentral describes it as "SSU rRNA". It matches the Rfam family "Eukaryotic small subunit ribosomal RNA", at positions 569 to 1089 of the family's 1831-position model. Lineage: Eukaryota; Fungi; Glomeromycota; Glomeromycetes; Glomerales; Glomeraceae. The record is from RNAcentral.